RNAcentral lists this ribosomal RNA (519 nucleotides) under uncultured eukaryote. RNAcentral describes it as "SSU rRNA". It matches the Rfam family "Eukaryotic small subunit ribosomal RNA", at positions 1161 to 1696 of the family's 1831-position model. The record is from RNAcentral.
AGGGCACCACCAGGAGUGGAGCCUGCGGCUUAAUUUGACUCAACACGGGAAAACUCACCCGGCCCGGACACUGGAAGGAUUGACAGAUUGAGAGCUCUUUCUUGAUUCAGUGGGUGGUGGUGCAUGGCCGUUCUUAGUUGGUGGAGUGAUUUGUCUGGUUAAUUCCGAUAACGAACGAGACCUUAUCCUACUAAAUAUGUGGUCAAGUUUACAAACACUUGAUCUCACUUCUUAGAGGGACAGGCGGUGAUUCAACCGCACGAAACAAGGCAAUAACAGGUCUGUGAUGCCCUUAGAUGUCCGGGGCCGCACGCGCGCUACACUGAAGUGAUCAGCGUGCUUUGCUAUGCCUACUCUGACAAGAGUGGGGAACCCCAUGAACCUUCUUCGUGAUUGGGAUAGGAGAUUGUAAUUAUUCUCCUUGAACGAGGAAUUCCCAGUAAGCGCGAGUCAUAAGCUCGCGUUGAUUACGUCCCUGCCCUUUGUACACACCGCCCGUCGCUACUACCGAUUGAAUGU